GGCAGCCCAAAUGGCCUCACCACCCGAGGGGUGCUGAAUAGUUGCUGUCAUUUCAAAAGCGCCAACACGGGCUUUGCAUGCAUCCUCAUGCUAUCCCCUCCCUCUGAGGGGAUAUCUUCCGUCAUCUUCCCAAUUUACAGAGGCAACAGGUUGAGUGGGAAACCCAAUAAGCUUUCAAAGCCUGGCCAGCCCUCCAGAGGGCAGUCUAUCCCUCUGUGAUGUGCCUCUGACGU
RNAcentral lists this long non-coding RNA (233 nucleotides) under Bos taurus (domestic cattle). RNAcentral's name for it is "long non-coding RNA NONBTAT026232". Lineage: Eukaryota; Metazoa; Chordata; Mammalia; Artiodactyla; Bovidae. The record is from RNAcentral.